RNAcentral lists this ribosomal RNA (427 nucleotides) under uncultured prokaryote. RNAcentral's name for it is "bacterial SSU rRNA". It matches the Rfam family "Bacterial small subunit ribosomal RNA", at positions 355 to 774 of the family's 1533-position model. The record is from RNAcentral.
CUAAGAAUAUUCCGCAAUGGACGAAAGUCUGACGGAGCGACGCCGCGUGGAUGAAGAAGGCCGCAAGGUUGUAAAAUCCUUUUGCUGGGGAAGAAUAAGCGCAGGAGGGAAUGCCUGCGUGAUGACAUGAACCGGCGAAUAAGCCCCGGCCAACUACGUGCCAGCAGCCGCGGUAACACGUAGGGGGCAAGCGUUGUUCGGAAUUACUGGGCGUAAAGGGCAUGUAGGCGGUUAUGUAAGCCUGGCGUGAAAGUCCACAGCUUAACUGUGGGAUUGCGUUGGGAACUAGAUGACUAGAGUUACGGAGAGGGAGCUAGAAUUCCUGGUGUAGGGGUGGAAUCUGUAGAGAUCAGGAAGAAUACCGAUGGCGAAGGCAAGCUCCUGGCCGAUGACUGACGCUGAGGUGCGAAAGUGUGGGGAUCAAACA